ACGCUGGCGGCAGGCUUAACACAUGCAAGUCGAACGGUAGCAGGAGGAAGCUUGCUUUCUUGCUGACGAGUGGCGGACGGGUGAGUAAUGCUUGGGAAUCUGGCUUAUGGAGGGGGAUAACGACGGGAAACUGUCGCUAAUACCGCGUAUUAUCGGAAGAUGAAAGUGCGGGACUGUAAGGCCGCAUGCCAUAGGAUGAGCCCAAGUGGGAUUAGGUAGUUGGUGGGGUAAAGGCCUACCAAGCCUGCGAUCUCUAGCUGGUCUGAGAGGAUGACCAGCCACACUGGAACUGAGACACGGUCCAGACUCCUACGGGAGGCAGCAGUGGGGAAUAUUGCGCAAUGGGGGCAACCCUGACGCAGCCAUGCCGCGUGAAUGAAGAAGGCCUUCGGGUUGUAAAGUUCUUUCGGUAUUGAGGAAGGUUGAUGUGUUAAUAGUACAUCAAAUUGACGUUAAAUACAGAAGAAGCACCGGCUAACUCCGUGCCAGCAGCCGCGGUAAUACGGAGGGUGCGAGCGUUAAUCGGAAUAACUGGGCGUAAAGGGCACGCAGGCGGUUAUUUAAGUGAGGUGUGAAAGCCCCGGGCUUAACCUGGGAAUUGCAUUUCAGACUGGGUAACUAGAGUACUUUAGGGAGGGGUAGAAUUCCACGUGUAGCGGUGAAAUGCGUAGAGAUGUGGAGGAAUACCGAAGGCGAAGGCAGCCCCUUGGGAAUGUACUGACGCUCAUGUGCGAAAGCGUGGGGAGCAAACAGGAUUAGAUACCCUGGUAGUCCACGCUGUAAACGCUGUCGAUUUGGGGGUUGGGGUUUAACUCUGGCGCCCGUAGCUAACGUGAUAAAUCGACCGCCUGGGGAGUACGGCCGCAAGGUUAAAACUCAAAUGAAUUGACGGGGGCCCGCACAAGCGGUGGAGCAUGUGGUUUAAU
RNAcentral lists this ribosomal RNA (926 nucleotides) under uncultured bacterium. RNAcentral describes it as "bacterial SSU rRNA". It matches the Rfam family "Bacterial small subunit ribosomal RNA", at positions 33 to 950 of the family's 1533-position model. The record is from RNAcentral.